GUAACGUCUCACAUGGUCACCGGCAGAUCUGAGGGAACUCAAUCGGGACUCUAACCCUGAAUAAGCACAGAAGUGCAACGGACUCGAGUAACAAGCUUCCUCUUUCAUAUACUUGAGGCUGCCACUAGCAGAUACAAGAGACUAAAAACAUCCCUGGCAAACGAAUCGCAAGGGACCUGAACACAGCAAGGACACUGAACGACUCAACACAGAGGCUGGG
Molecule: non-coding RNA, 220 nt
Organism: Pelobates cultripes (western spadefoot toad)
Lineage: Eukaryota; Metazoa; Chordata; Amphibia; Anura; Pelobatidae
Source: the annotation of a GenBank genome assembly